RNAcentral lists this ribosomal RNA (403 nucleotides) under Fusobacteriota bacterium. RNAcentral describes it as "Fusobacteria bacterium partial 16S ribosomal RNA". It matches the Rfam family "Bacterial small subunit ribosomal RNA", at positions 355 to 776 of the family's 1533-position model. The record is from RNAcentral. Lineage: Bacteria; Fusobacteriati; Fusobacteriota.
UGGGGAAUAUUGCACAAUGGAGGGAACUCUGAUGCAGCGACGCCGCGUGAACGAAGAAGGCUUUCGAGUCGUAAAGUUCUUUUAUAUGGGAAGAUAAUGACGGUACCAUAAGAAAAAGCCCCGGCUAACUACGUGCCAGCAGCCGCGGUAAUACGUAGGGGGCUAGCGUUGUCCGGAAUCACUGGGCGUAAAGGGUUCGCAGGCGGAAAUGCAAGUCAGGUGUAAAAGGCAGUAGCUUAACUACUGUAAGCAUUUGAAACUGCAUAUCUUGAGAAGAGUAGAGGUAAGUGGAAUUUUUAGUGUAGCGGUGAAAUGCGUAGAUAUUAAAAAGAAUACCGGUGGCGAAGGCGACUGACUGGGCUCAUUCUGACGCUGAGGAACGAAAGCGUGGGUAGCAAACAGG